This 295-nucleotide signal recognition particle RNA is filed under the name Aotus nancymaae (Ma's night monkey). RNAcentral describes it as "Metazoan signal recognition particle RNA (ENSANAG00000012678.1)". It matches the Rfam family "Metazoan signal recognition particle RNA". From Rfam's summary of the family: The signal recognition particle (SRP) is a universally conserved ribonucleoprotein. The record is from RNAcentral. Lineage: Eukaryota; Metazoa; Chordata; Mammalia; Primates; Aotidae.
GCUGGGCAUGGUGGUGCGUACCUAUAGUCCCAGCUACUCGGGAGGCUGAGGUGGGGGGAUUGAUUGAGCCCAGGAGUUCUGGGCUGUAGUGCACUAUGCCGAUCAUGUGUCCACACUAAGUUCGGCAUCAAUAUAGUGACCUCCCGGAAGCGAGGACCACCAGGUUGCCUAAGGAGGGAUAAACCGGCCCAGGUCAGAAAUGGAGCAGGUCAAAACUCCCAUGCUGAUCAGUGGGAUCACGCCUGUAAAUAGCCACUGCACUCCAGCCUGGGCAACAUAGUGAGACCCCGUCUCU